RNAcentral lists this long non-coding RNA (443 nucleotides) under Eucalyptus grandis. Its description in RNAcentral is "long non-coding RNA (EGRA_LNC000092)". Lineage: Eukaryota; Viridiplantae; Streptophyta; Magnoliopsida; Myrtales; Myrtaceae. The record is from RNAcentral.
UCACAGGGACAUUCUGGUAAUUGUUUCCUUUUAUUUGCUUGGAAUGAGGUUCAGUUUAGUUGAGUGGAAUUUUAAUCUUUAUUUGAAGUGACAUAUUUAGUAAUUGAGUUGCUGGAUACCUCAUUCAUUAUGACUCUUUCACAAGAUUAGAUUUAAAUGAUGCUUGUGCCAGCGGAUAUGCAUUUUGCCUGCUGCUAUGUGCAUUUCAUUGGAGUUAUCAACUCAAACAUCACAAAAGCUUGAGUAUGGUUUUUCACUUGGCAUAGAGCAUUUAUGAGCACAACAUAGUUUUUCAUAAUUUUGGUAUUUGAUAACAAUAGCAAGGACAUGUUCAAAAGCUUUUCUUGCAUGCUCAUAAUAUAACAUCUUCAAUUUAGCAAACUCUAACUCUUAUAGAUAAGAUGCAUAAACAUCUCCUAUCAAACUAUUGAGUUUUCACAUCG